UUUUGAAACUGGAUUUAUUUAUUUAUUUAUAGAAAUAUUUUCAAAAUCAAAAGCUGGAGCCUCACAUACUUCUAUUGGCUACCCCUGUCCGCUCCAGUCACUAUACAUUUUACUGACAAGGUGGUCAGAUUUACUGUACAUGACCUGUGACUCCUCGCAACUAACUUCUGCAUCUACCUGCUGUUCCAGGUCAUGUUGCUUUCUCCCACAUGCACACGUCACUGGUUAUUCUGCUUCCUUGUGUUCAAAUGUCCUGCUUCUGACCAGAUAAACCUGAUGAUGCACCAUCCACUCAAUCUGCAAUGUGUUUCUUUAUUCUGCUCAAGUGUUGUUAUUAUAGUUUUACCAUCAUUUGAUGCAGUUUUAGAAACAAUUUCUGAGAAUACUGUGACACAAACACUAAAACAGCAAAUACAUGUUCCAAAAGGUGUUGUGUUCUCAAAACUCUUCAUACAAUUAUUAAUUAAGAAAAAAAACAUUAAGUCCUGUAUUUUCUUCACUGCUUGCUUCUGUUUGUUGGCUCACAUUAGGCAACACAGGCAACGUGACUUUAUACUGAGCCACAAAUGUUGUACUUCUGCUUACACACUGAAUGAUGAGAAUAUUGUGAGCAGAAGACUCUUUGGUGAAUCUGCACUCAAGAAGAGAAAAUGUAUGCAAGCUUUGGCCCAGCCUAAUGGUGCUUCAGAUCCUACACUGCCCUCCUUGGUGGUAACUGACACUGGACCGACUGAGACUAAAGUCGACCCCCUACCAGAGAGCUAGUAUGCUCAGGUAGAAAAGCCUGCCAGCUCCUGAAACAGUUUUCACCACCUUCACACCUUGUACAGUAUGUGUCCUAGUUUACAUACAGAGAGUUGAAAAAUAAUUUAAAUAAUCUCCUGUAAGGGAUAUGCAGUAUUAUAGGUACUUGAAUAGUUUAUUGUUUCUAAAAACAGACUUCAACUGAAAAUCCCAUUUAAAAUCAAAUGAUUUAUCCUUGUAGAGUUGAAAAACAUUUCAAUAAUUGUUCCGCUAAGUUCAGUUCAUAAUUGUUAUUCAUUGUUGUUGUCCAUUCAGUGUAUCAGUGGUCCCUCCGAUGACUCUGAUGAGCUCUGAUCGAUUUCUUGGUGAAAAACUCACAAUAUUAGAUUCAGAUUGGAUUAAACUUUAUUGUCAUUGUCAUUGUGUACAAGUAUGAGACAAUGAAAUGCAGUUUAACAGUAUAAAGUAAGUAAAAAGAGAUCAGUCUCACAACAUCUUUUGGCUUCAUUAAUUCAUAAAAGAUAAUUAUACAGCUUUAACUCGUGUCCAAUAAUGGUGUAUGUACCAGAAAGUGCUUUACUUAGUUAAAGAAAAAGAUAAAAUAUUGUCAAUUAUCAGUGUUUUGGUCACAUUAACAUUGCAUUUUAUUAAAUGUUUAUAAAUCUUUCUGAGACCAUUGUAAAUAGGACCACAGUAUUACAUAUAGUGUAUUGCCCAAGGCUAUUUAUUGUAUGCUGUUCUUUUUUCAAUAUAAUAUAUAAGAAUUUUCUAUCAUGGUCAUCUCUGUACAAUUAUUUUAUUUAUAAAGGAAGCACAGUCAUUAUUGGGUAUAAUCAAUGGGUAAUCAAGAAAAAUGAACUGCAUUUGUUUUAUUUUUUAUUUCCCUCCUAAAACAUUUGCAACGGCCAAUUUUCACAAAUAUUUUAUAUCCUGUAUUGGUUCCAUCCACGUUUUCUGGCUUGCAGACUUCUACUUCCUCUACUUACAUUUCUUGGUGUGUUACAGCCACCAACUGUCCGUCAGUGAAAUAGCAUGAAAUCAGUGGCAGGAAUGUGCAGACUUGGACAUACACAAUACAAACAAAA
Long non-coding RNA from Dicentrarchus labrax (European seabass), 1829 nucleotides. RefSeq lists it as uncharacterized. The transcript has 2 exons. The record is from RefSeq and is a predicted model, not a curated record. NCBI's taxonomy places the organism in Eukaryota, Metazoa, Chordata, Actinopteri, Moronidae.